RNAcentral lists this ribosomal RNA (429 nucleotides) under Gemmatimonadota bacterium. RNAcentral's name for it is "Gemmatimonadetes bacterium partial 16S ribosomal RNA". It matches the Rfam family "Bacterial small subunit ribosomal RNA", at positions 355 to 776 of the family's 1533-position model. Lineage: Bacteria; Pseudomonadati; Gemmatimonadota. The record is from RNAcentral.
UAGGGAAUCUUCGGCAAUGGACGAAAGUCUGACCGAGCAACGCCGCGUGAGUGAAGAAGGUUUUCGGAUCGUAAAACUCUGUUGUUAGAGAAGAACAAGGACGUUAGUAACUGAACGUCCCCUGACGGUAUCUAACCAGAAAGCCACGGCUAACUACGUGCCAGCAGCCGCGGUAAUACGUAGGUGGCAAGCGUUGUCCGGAUUUAUUGGGCGUAAAGCGAGCGCAGGCGGUUUCUUAAGUCUGAUGUGAAAGCCCCCGGCUCAACCGGGGAGGGUCAUUGGAAACUGGGAGACUGGAGUGCAGAAGAGGAGAGUGAAAUUCCAUGUGUAGCGGUGAAAUGCGUAGAUAUAUGGAGGAACACCAGUGGCGAAGGCGGCUCUCUGGUCUGUAACUGACGCUGAGGCUCGAAAGCGUGGGGAGCAAACAGG